RNAcentral lists this small RNA (444 nucleotides) under Histoplasma ohiense. RNAcentral's name for it is "hypothetical lncRNA". The record is from RNAcentral. Lineage: Eukaryota; Fungi; Ascomycota; Eurotiomycetes; Onygenales; Ajellomycetaceae.
UGCAUCUCAGUUUUAUGCUUGUAUAAUGGAAAGUCUGAUGUGAAUGAUCAAUCUGAAAGGCUCACUGAUGUUUUGUCUGAUGAAAUGUUAACUCAGAGUUGAUGUUUUUGUGAGGUGGACUGAGCAGAUAUUCUAUCUUUCUGCUUUAUGUCUCUGUUGAUAAAUUGAAUCUGAUGAUAAUACUGUGUAGCUGUGAUGGGUUAGCAUCUGUUAGUAGUUAACUUACACACUCAACUCCCCUCCUGCACCCACUCAUCUCUGUCCGCCUCACACUCCACGCUCCGUGCUUGUGUAGUCUCUAACAAUUCUUCCACAUAACCCUUGAUGCUCUUCCACCUCACACUUCACACUCAUAUAGUUCUAACAAUUCUUCCACAUAACUCUUAAUGUUCUUCCACUGUAACGGGCAAACUUUGAUUAACAAUCUAGCACUAUUCUUGUAAC